UCGGGAAUUUUGGGCAAUGGGCGAAAGCCUGACCCAGCAACGCCGCGUGAAGGAUGAAGUAUUUCGGUAUGUAAACUUCGAAAGAAUAGGAAGAAUAAAUGACGGUACCAUUUAUAAGGUCCGGCUAACUACGUGCCAGCAGCCGCGGUAAUACGUAGGGACCAAGCGUUGUUCGGAUUUACUGGGCGUAAAGGGCGCGUAGGCGGCUUUGUAAGUCACUUGUGAAAUCUCCGGGCUUAACUCGGAACGGCCAAGUGAUACUGCAAAGCUAGAGUGCAGAAGGGGCAAUCGGAAUUCUUGGUGUAGCGGUGAAAUGCGUAGAUAUCAAGAGGAACACCUGAGGUGAAGACGGGUUGCUGGGCUGACACUGACGCUGAGGCGCGAAAGCCAGGGGAGCAAACGGGAUUAGAUACCCCGGUAGUCCCUGAGCGGGCUGGCAAGGCGCAU
RNAcentral lists this ribosomal RNA (447 nucleotides) under uncultured bacterium. RNAcentral's name for it is "bacterial SSU rRNA". It matches the Rfam family "Bacterial small subunit ribosomal RNA", at positions 355 to 825 of the family's 1533-position model. The record is from RNAcentral.